This 460-nucleotide ribosomal RNA is filed under the name uncultured bacterium. RNAcentral describes it as "bacterial SSU rRNA". It matches the Rfam family "Bacterial small subunit ribosomal RNA", at positions 28 to 507 of the family's 1533-position model. The record is from RNAcentral.
GAUGAACGUUGGCGGCGUGCCUAAUACAUGCAAGUCGAACGGAGACGGUAGCAAUACGGUCUCAGUGGCGAACGGGUGAGUAACGCGUUGGUGACCUGCCCCGAAGUGUGGAAUAACAGAUCGAAAGAGCUGCUAAUACCGCAUAAUAUCCAGAGGAUUAGAUGCCUUUGGAUUAAAGGAUUUAUUCGCUUCGGGAGGGGCCUGCGUCCCAUCAGCUAGUUGGUAAGGUAAUGGCUUACCAAGGCGAUGACGGGUAGGGGACCUGAGAGGGUGGCCCCCCACAAUGGAACUGAAACACGGUCCAUACACCUACGGGUGGCAGCAGUAGGGAAUAUUAGUAAUGGGCGAAAGCCUGAACUAGCAACGCCGCGUGUGCGAAGAAGGCCUUGGGUUGUAAAGCACUUUUGUAGAGGAUGAGGAAGGACGGUAACUCUCAGAAUAAGUCUCGGCUAACUACGUG